RNAcentral lists this long non-coding RNA (1201 nucleotides) under Salmo trutta (river trout). RNAcentral's name for it is "lncRNA (ENSSTUG00000007364.1)". The record is from RNAcentral. Lineage: Eukaryota; Metazoa; Chordata; Actinopteri; Salmoniformes; Salmonidae.
AUGGUGGUAGAAAGACUGUUGGACCUGACCGGCCAUAUCAAAGGGGACCGAGAGCAAGUGCUGCUCAACUCCACUCAAAGGGUCCAGCUCGCUGUGCUUCUCCAAUCAACCCGUGAGCUUCUCUCUCUUGAAGCCUUCUGCUCUAAACUCUUCUGGCAGGAGUAUUGGAGGGAUCAGGUGAGUGUGUGUGUGUGCACAAACCAGACUCUUGUCUUUCUACUGCCAAUGCCAUACCUUCGGGUUUUGGCAAUUUGAGCCUAUUUUUGAUUUUUUGUUUCAUAUACCUGUUUGUGUGUACCUGACAGUUGCUACAGUUUUUUUCCAUUAACUUGUCCAGUGAUUUUUGUUGUCAACAGUUAGAAAGUUCUAGAAAAUAGAUGCGACAAUUACCUGUUACGGUGCGUUUCCAUUGAUCUGUCUUGUGUCGAUUAAAAACAUCUGGACGUAAUGUCACAAAACAAAAGUUUCCGCAAAAACCUAGGACCCUGGAGUGUUGAAUAAAAAUUGAGUGUUUCCAAUAUCCAUUUAGGCAAAUUGCACAUGAAUAAAUUGGUGACAGCCUGUAUGCCCUCCCACCUAUCUGAUUCAUGUUCUGCAAAAGCUAGCAUGGAUAGAAUGCAUGAAUUGAUUUGCCAUAUUCUAAUAAUUCUCAUGUGCCAACGUAUCGCCAUGGUCUGUGCCAUGGGGAAACUUGCAUCCAGAAAAGUAAAGCGAAGCAAUUCGUUCUUGAAAGUCAGGACAAUCCUUGUCCUGCAAAUAAACAUGAUUUUUUUGUAGUUGAAAAAACUUGUAUAUAGCGUGCAGUAGGCAUGUAUAAUUAAUGUGAAGUCGAGCUUUAUAGUUACGUGAUGACAUCACGUCUCCUGCGUACCUUCAGAAUUAUACGAAGAAAAAAAAAUCUUUUUGAAAUGUUAUUUUGUUUCGUCAGAGAAAAUGUGUACUGAUGUCAUGUUUUUUUUUGUUAUUGUAAUUUAACAUUUUAUAAUAGAAAAAAAUAAGGAUAAUUUAUUUGAAAAACACUUUACAUUAUUUGUUGCAAAUAAAGUUAGACAAAAGAAAAAUCCAGCCCUGGCAAACAUUUAUCUUUAGAACAUUUGUCCUAUAGCUACCGUUUCCCUUACACAUAUCGCAAUGUUAUUUUUUUUGUGGCAUUGCUUUUGUCUAAUAAACCUGUGUCAAUCGAAACCUGCCUAGUGAUUUC